AGCCUGGCUAUGGGCAAAGAGAACUAAUUGGUGGUGGUGCUCUUAUAUCAGUGAAGGGCAGAGCAGACUGGCAGACGUUUGUUCAUCGUAGCUUGAUGCCUAGAUAAUGGCCAGAGCUGUUUCAUGCCUAGGGCACAUUA
Molecule: small nucleolar RNA, 140 nt
Organism: Echinops telfairi (small Madagascar hedgehog)
Lineage: Eukaryota; Metazoa; Chordata; Mammalia; Afrosoricida; Tenrecidae
Product: small nucleolar RNA SNORA48
Exons: 1
Source: RefSeq, a predicted model, not a curated record